CGCAGUGUCACCGGCGGGGUUAAGGUACUCGGCUCAUAACCGAGGAUAUGCGGGUUCAAAUCCCGCCACUGCCA
RNAcentral lists this transfer RNA (74 nucleotides) under Plectonema cf. radiosum LEGE 06105. It matches the Rfam family "tRNA". From Rfam's summary of the family: Transfer RNA (tRNA) molecules are approximately 80 nucleotides in length. Their secondary structure includes four short double-helical elements and three loops (D, anti-codon, and T loops). Lineage: Bacteria; Bacillati; Cyanobacteriota; Cyanophyceae; Oscillatoriales; Microcoleaceae. The record is from Rfam by way of RNAcentral.